CUUAUUUUUACAUACAGGUGUGAGCCAUAUUUACUUACUUAUUUUUACAUACAGGUGUGAGCCAUAUUUACUUAUUUUUACAUACAGGUGUGAGCCAUAUUUACUUACUUAUUUUUACAUACAAUACAAACACUUUAAAUAAAGUUGAAGAUCAUCUCCAUGGACCAGGUGGUCAAGCCGAACACCCAGGAUCCAGCUGUCAAGUUCAGGGUAGCCCCUGAGCUUCUCACUCUGACUCCAACAGGGUGAGCUUGCUAUCCUUGUGGCACAGGGCCUUUUGCAUUGUGGAUGAUGGAGCGGCUCGUAUAGUCCAUAAGUUUUGUGCGUAGCUGUGUACCCUGUCCCUGUGAGCUGGUUCUGCCCGGCACCUCGGUGACCUCGAGGAAAGAAGCUGAGAGACAGAGUCUUGCUUUGUCACCCAGGCUGGAGGGCAGUGGCACCAUCAUAGCUCACUGCAGACUCGAACUCCUGGGCUCAAGGGAUCCUCCUGCCUCGGCCUCCAAAAAUGACGGAGUCUUGCUGUGUCACCCAGGCUGGAGUGCAGUGGUACAAUCUUGGCUCACUCUCACUGCAACCUCUGCCUCCCAGAUUCAAGCAAUUCUCCUUGCCUCAGCCUCCCAAGUAGCUGGGAUUACAGGAGUGCACUACCACGCCUGGCUAAUUUUUGUAUUUUUAGUAGAGAUGGGGUUUCACCAUGUUGGCCAACCUGGUCUUGAACUCCUGACCUCAGGUGAUCCACCCGCCUUGGCCUCCCAAAGUGCUGUGAUUACACGUAUGAGCCACAGCGCCCAGCCUAUAUAACAUUCUUACAAUGAGAACACAACAGAGAUGGAGAACAGAUUGGUAUUUGCAAAGGGACAGAUACAGUGUGUUUGUGUAUGUGCAUGUAUAUGUGUGUGUGCCUGCCACUAUAGUGGUAACACAAGGGGAUUCCUUUGUGGGUCUCUAUCUUGAUUGUGGUGGUAGGUAUACAAAUAUUUAUAUGGAUCAGAUUGCAUAGAAACACACAUGCACAUGCGUGCACACACACACAGGAAUGCAUGUGAAACUGGUGAAUACUGAAUAAGGUCCUCUGUAAUCUAGUUAACAGUAAUGUACCCAUGUCACUUUCCUGGUUUUGAUAUUAUACUAUGGUUAUGUAAGAUGUUCCCACUGUGGGAAUACUGGAUGAAUGUUACGUGGGACUGUAUGUACCAUGCAAUUUCCUGUGAGUCUGUAAGAGUUCAACACAAAAAGUAAUUACAAAAGAAGAAAAGAAAAGGUGCUGGUGAUGACAAGGUUGUUGGGAAAAGGGCUUGUGCGGUGCCUGCAUAAACUGGCCGUAAAAAAUAUGGGACAAUAAGUUGUGGAAAGCCACAGGAGGCCUCUGAUGAGGAAAGCCUUCUAAUUGCCAUCACGUUCCCAUGGCCAGAGCGUGACCUGCUCUCUUAUUUACAAGCACUGUGCUCAAGGAGAAAGACACUCCUUUGAAGCAUUGGAAUGUGGCCAGAUAUGCCGGCUCCUAGUUACGCCCACUCCCCACAGCUGCUCUCCAGUGAGUUAAAGAAUAAAUCAGUAGUUAAGUUUAUGCUGCUUCAGCACAAAGACAAUUUACCUAAACCGCCAUUGCUAUAGAUUAGGUGUAUGACACACCGCCCCCCUUUCACCAUUUCACCCCUGAAUAUCUGCUUCUCAGAUCUAAGUGAUUGUACUCAGUAGUGUGGAGACCAGAGUUUGGCACCUUUUGCAGCCUCCAAAAGUGCAGUUGGCCCCCUGGCACCCCACCCUUUAUGCACUCUUAACCUGUCUCUUCUCAUUCCUUCGUCGCCACCGGACUUUGGGUACCCUACGGGUGGUGUUGAGGCUGGUCCCCAACACAAGGUGACAGCAGCCAUCCCACUCCAUUAGCAACUGUGGUGAUAAGCACUGGUUUAAAAUGGGCUGAAUUGAAAACUGUUACUCUUGCCUUAGUCCAGGGAUUGGCAAACUUUUUCUAUAAGCCCCAGGUAGUAAAUAUUUUAGGCUUUAUGGACCACAUAUAAUCUCUGUUGCAUAUUCGUUUCUCUCUCUGUGUGUC
This is a long non-coding RNA of Homo sapiens (human), 2056 nucleotides long. The record is from Ensembl. Lineage: Eukaryota; Metazoa; Chordata; Mammalia; Primates; Hominidae.